CGAGCGUCAUUACAACCCUCAAGCCUAGCUUGGUAUUGGGCUUCGCCGUUCACACGGCGGGCCUUAAAAUUAGUGGCAGUGCUAUAGUGGCCCUGAGCGUAGUAAAUAUCCUCGCUAUAGGGACAUGGUAGAUACCGGCCAGCAACCCCCAACUUUCUAAGUUUGACCUCGGAUCAGGUAGGGAUACCCGCUGAACUUAA
RNAcentral lists this unclassified non-coding RNA (200 nucleotides) under soil metagenome. RNAcentral's name for it is "partial contains internal transcribed spacer 2 and large subunit ribosomal RNA". The record is from RNAcentral.